UCAAUAGCCUAACGGCUGAACCAGCAACUUGGAGGAAUGUAUAGCAAUAGCUACUUGCAUCAUUGAAAAUAUGAUGCAAGAUCGACUAUGUCGAAUAAAAUUCUAGGUAGAAUUAUGAUAAUGACAUUGUCUGCCUAUGUGUCUUGACCAAAUUACGUGCCAGCAGUCGCGGUAAUACGUAGAAGACUAGUGUUAUUCAUGUUUAAUCGGUUUAAAGGGUACCUAGACGGUAAAUCAAGCCUAAAAGGAAGGUAAUAAAGGGACUAAUUUACUAGAGUUACUUAUGAGGGGGUAUUAAAGUACUGCUGGUGUAGAGAUGAAAUUCUGUCAUACCUCUUUUCAAUAGAAAAAUAAUGGCACAGGUAUAGGCGAAAGCAUCCCCUUAUGUGAUAACUGACGUUGAGGGACGAAGGCUUUGUGUAGCGAACAGGAUUAGAUACCCCAGUAGUCAAAGCAGAAAAUGAUGAAUGUCAUAGAUUAGAUAUAUAAGUUUAUUCUAUAAAUGAAAGUGUAAGCAUUCCACCUCAAGAGUAAUUUGGCAACAUUGGAACUGAAAUCAUUAGACCGUUUCUGAAACCAGUAGUGAAGUAUGUUGUUUAAUUUGAUGAUCCGCAAAAAACCUUACCACAAUUUGAAUAUUUAUAUCUUUUAUUGUUUUUCUUUUUAACUUUCUUCUGAUUUUCUACUUAAAAGAAAACAAUAACAAGAAAAAAGAGGCAAUAAGAUAUAUUUACAAGCGUUGCACGGCUGUCUUCAGUUAAUGUCGCGAGACUAUGGUUAGUUCCAUUAAAUUAACGUAAACCCUUACUUUAUUUUUAUAUAGAGUAGUUCCCCGCUAUAUUGGAUAUGAUAACAGGGACUAAGACAAGUCAUCAUGGCCUGCUGAGCGA
This 890-nucleotide ribosomal RNA is filed under the name Melanelia stygia. RNAcentral describes it as "SSU rRNA". It matches the Rfam family "Bacterial small subunit ribosomal RNA", at positions 368 to 1214 of the family's 1533-position model. Lineage: Eukaryota; Fungi; Ascomycota; Lecanoromycetes; Lecanorales; Parmeliaceae. The record is from RNAcentral.